RNA transcript from Manihot esculenta (cassava), 2075 nucleotides. It is a transcript of the gene named dol-P-Man:Man(5)GlcNAc(2)-PP-Dol alpha-1,3-mannosyltransferase, with no coding region annotated. The transcript has 16 exons. The record is from RefSeq and is a predicted model, not a curated record. NCBI's taxonomy places the organism in Eukaryota, Viridiplantae, Streptophyta, Magnoliopsida, Malpighiales, Euphorbiaceae.
CAAGCAGUCGCAAAGCUUAAACUGAAAUUAAGCCUGCAAAAGACCAACUGGGGAAAUUCAAUUGAAGAUUUUCUCUCUUACAGCAUUCUUUGUGACCCAAAACAAAAUCCAGAUCUAGUGCUUGACAAUGUGUAAAAUACACACAAAUCUUUAUUUUUAGAUUUUUUUUUCUGAGUUGCAACUUUACUCCUCUCCAAUCGUAACGAAGCAGAGAGUUGAAGCCAUGGCACCUAAAUCAUCAUCGAGGAAAGUCAAGCCGUCGCAAAGUCCCAGGGCUUCUGUUUUCAAAUUUUUGAAAAAUCCAAAAGUAGCCUUCGCUGUGGCUUUAAUUUUCAUGGAUGCCCUCCUUGUCGCUCUUAUCAUCGCCUAUGUUCCUUAUACAAAGAUUGAUUGGGACGCUUACAUGUCACAGGUAACUGGGUUUCUUGAAGGAGAAAGGGACUACAGCAACUUGAAAGGUGAUACUGGGCCGCUGGUAUACCCAGCUGGGUUUCUUUAUGUUUACUCUGCCAUUCAGUAUGUUACAGGAGGGGAUGUCUAUCCAGCUCAGAUCUUGUUUGGCAUUUUAUACAUCAUUAAUCUGAGUAUCAUCUUAUUCAUCUAUGUGAAGACUGAUGAGCUUCCAUGGUGGGCACUUAUCUUGCUUUGCCUUUCAAAAAGAGUGCACUCAAUCUUUGUGCUGCGUCUCUUUAAUGACUGUUUUGCAAUGACUCUUCUCCACGCUGCAUUGGCCUUGCUUCUUUGUCAACAUUGGCAUCUGGGGCUGAUUCUUUUCAGUGGGGCUGUUUCAAUAAAGAUGAAUGUACUUCUCUAUGCUCCAUCUCUAUUUCUCCUUAUGUUAAAGGCCAUGGAUGUUACUGGCGUCAUAGUGGCAUUAUCUGGUGCAGCAUUGGUGCAGAUCCUGUUGGGGCUGCCCUUCUUAGCCUCUUAUCCAAUUGCAUAUAUAUCAAGAGCAUUCAACCUUGGGCGUGUCUUCAUCCACUUCUGGUCCGUUAACUUCAAGUUCAUUCCUGAACCAUUUUUUGUAUCAAAGCAAUUUGCAGUCUCAUUGCUGCUUGCUCACCUUGGAUUGCUUGCAGCUUUUGCCCAUUACAGAUGGUGCAAACAUGAAGGAGGACUUUUUAAGUUUUUGCAUUCCAAGGUCAUAUCUAUUAGACGACCAUCUGCUAUCACAAGUUCUAGUGGUUCAUCCUUCAAGAUUCUCAAGGAAGAACAUAUUGUGACAAUGAUGUUUUCUGGGAACUUCAUUGGCAUUGUAUGUGCGCGCUCGCUGCAUUAUCAGUUCUAUUCAUGGUACUUCUAUAGCUUACCAUAUCUUUUGUGGAAAACUCCUUUCCCUACAUGGCUACGUUUGAUUCUGUUUGUAGGCGUGGAAUAUUGCUGGAAUGUUUAUCCUUCCACCAAAUUUUCAUCAGCACUACUUCUAUGUCUGCAUUUAGUUAUCCUCUGGGCUCUGUGGUCUGCUCCAUCUCAGUAUCCCUACAAGGAAGAUCAACUGUCAGCUAAAGAGAAGCACAGAUGAAGUGCAAAAUCUUCUUCAGCAGAUGCAAUCCAGGUUCCAAACAAUGUCCGACUCCAUUAUCACGACGAUUGACGGGAUGGGAACUCGCAUAAAUGAUUUGGAGCAGAGCAUAAAUGACUUGAGAGCAGAGAUGGGAGUGGAGGGUUCACCUUCUCCUUUGGCCCCAUCUAAGCAAAAGCCAUGUGAAGACAAGCAAGAAGAAGGUUCAGCUUAGAGUUGGUCAUAGUUGUUUUUGUUCUGUGGCAGACUAGUUUAAUUUCAUGAGAACCUCUUUUUCCGUUUUCAGAAAUCAAAUUUCAUUGUGCUCGUGAUCCCUGUUUCAUUGAUUCAGCGCCCAACAAAGUUGUCUACUUUUUUCUUUUUCUGAUCAUCUGAAAGUUAUCUGGAUGUCCGCUUCACAAGUUUCAUUAGAGAUCUGUUGUGACUUGCCAAAGGAAAAGAUGUGAUAUAACCCACAAUGUAAUACUACCUAAGCACUUCAUUUUUGUCCAGCUAUAUUUCUGUGGCCUGAAAUUCAAAGAUUUAUUACCAGGGAUGCUGCAAUUCUCUAUUA